AGUGAACGCUGGCGGUAGGCCUAACACAUGCAAGUCGAACGGCAGCACAGUAAGAGCUUGCUCUUACGGGUGGCGAGUGGCGGACGGGUGAGGAAUACAUCGGAAUCUACUUUUUCGUGGGGGAUAACGUAGGGAAACUUACGCUAAUACCGCAUACGACCUACGGGUGAAAGCAGGGGAUCUUCGGACCUUGCGCGAUUGAAUGAGCCGAUGUCGGAUUAGCUAGUUGGCGGGGUAAAGGCCCACCAAGGCGACGAUCCGUAGCUGGUCUGAGAGGAUGAUCAGCCACACUGGAACGGAGCCACGGUCCAGACUCCUAAGGGAGGCAGCAGUGGGGAAUAUUGGACAAUGGGCGCAAGCCUGAUCCAGCCAUACCGCGUGGGUGAAGAAGGCCUUCGGGGUGGAAAGCCCUUUUGUUGGGAAAGAAAAGCAGCAGGUUAAUACCCCGCUGUUCUGACGGUACCCAAAGAAUAAGCACCGGCUAACUUCGUG
This 492-nucleotide ribosomal RNA is filed under the name uncultured bacterium. RNAcentral describes it as "partial 16S ribosomal RNA". It matches the Rfam family "Bacterial small subunit ribosomal RNA", at positions 29 to 507 of the family's 1533-position model. The record is from RNAcentral.